GCAGGACGCAGAACAGACAGGACGUGAGAUCACGACGCAGGACGUAGAGCAGACAGGAAGUGAGAUCAGGACUCAGGACCCAGAGCAGACAGGAAGUGAGAUCAGGACUCAGGACCCAGAGCAGACAGGAAGUGAGGUCAGGACGCAGAACAGGACGUGAGAUCAGGAUGCAGGACGUAGAGCAGACAGGAAGUGAGAUCAGGACGCGGGACCCAGAGCAGACAGGAAGUGAGAUCAGGACUCAGGACCCAGAGCAGACAGGAAGUGAGGUCAGGAUGCAGGACGCAGAACAGACAGGACAUGAGAUCAGGACGCAGGACGUAGAGCAGACAGGAAGUGAGAUCAGGACGCGGGACCCAGAGCAGACAGGAAGUGAAGUCCGAACACAUCCGCUGGCUCAGGGUAAACACGUCCCACAGUCACAACAGUCAGCACGAAGGGUGGAUUUAUCCAGACCUGAGAUGCAACGGCAUGGGCAGGCCUGGACGGGUGGCAGGCA
Molecule: long non-coding RNA, 499 nt
Organism: Orcinus orca (killer whale)
Lineage: Eukaryota; Metazoa; Chordata; Mammalia; Artiodactyla; Delphinidae
Exons: 4
Source: RefSeq, a predicted model, not a curated record